UUGAGCCGUAUGCGCUGAAAGGCGCACGUACGGUUCUUAGGGGGAGGCGGGCCAGCAAUGGCCUGUCUCUACCCGAC
This 77-nucleotide non-coding RNA is filed under the name Pseudomonas aeruginosa. Lineage: Bacteria; Pseudomonadati; Pseudomonadota; Gammaproteobacteria; Pseudomonadales; Pseudomonadaceae. The record is from RNAcentral.